Xenopus laevis (African clawed frog) is the source of this 664-nucleotide long non-coding RNA. RefSeq lists it as uncharacterized. The record is from RefSeq and is a predicted model, not a curated record. Lineage: Eukaryota; Metazoa; Chordata; Amphibia; Anura; Pipidae. The transcript is spliced from 3 exons.
CUCAUCACUAAUGAUGUCACUUCCAGAAUGCUCUGGACCUGGGGUUUUCCAAAUAACAGGUAUGGACACCCCUGGUUUUGUGCGGUAUACCCUUUAAUGGGUGCAUUACAUUUUCCCCUUUUAUGAUGCCAGUACAGUGGCCACAAUUAUGGCAUGGGAAAAGAUUGGCGGAGAGGAAAAGAGAUUGGCUACUUUUGGAUCCCUCUCCAGGAUACUCCAAUAUUUGAGUAUUGUCUGUUUGAUAAAUUUUGAAUUAAUGUCAUAUGUUGACACGAAAGGAACUCUUUGGAGUGCGUCUAUUUUCUUUUUUUGUUGUAACAAAUUCUCUCUCGGUAUUUUACUUAUUUCUUCCUGAGUAUUUCUUAAGAUCUCAUGUUUGUAACCUCUAUCAAUAAAUUUCUGUACCAUUUUUUCCGACUCUUUUUUGUAUAAUUCAUUCGUAGAGGUUAUUCUCCUCACUCUCAUCAUUUGGCUUUUCGGUAGGCCCUUAAACAAAUUUGGAGCAUGGAAACUUGUAGGUCUUAAUAAGGUGUUGCGAUCAGUGGGCUUAGUGUAUAUUGAGGUGUUGAAUACACCUUCAAUUAGAGAAACAUCCACAUCCAAAAAGUGUAUAUUGGAGGUAUGGUACUCCAAUGUAAAUUUUAUGGUCGAAUGGACAGAGUUA